GCCGCCGUCUGCUUUGUGCGCUGUUCCUGCGCGCGUAUUUCGGCAAAUGCAUUUUUUUUUUGCAUGUGCCUGUUUGUUUAACAUCUCCCUAGGUUUUGCUCUCAGACCCGCUGAGGACCCUUAACUCUGAAUUUCCCGACUGCUCUAUGAUGCAUCUGCCCGUCUCCGUGUCGAAUGCGUGCUGAGAUGGUGUCUCACGCUUUUGAACCUGCAUCUUUACAGCUUUUGGAAAAAUGCCGUUGCGCAUCUUUUUGAGCAUAAAAAUUACUGCCAGCUCCGUCCCGUCAGCUCCUUCCUGGCUACCACUCCUCGGUCCCUUUGGAUGUUAGCG
RNAcentral lists this long non-coding RNA (331 nucleotides) under Apteryx owenii (little spotted kiwi). RNAcentral's name for it is "lncRNA (ENSAOWG00000009359.1)". Lineage: Eukaryota; Metazoa; Chordata; Aves; Apterygiformes; Apterygidae. The record is from RNAcentral.